RNAcentral lists this transfer RNA (847 nucleotides) under Sinocyclocheilus grahami. Its description in RNAcentral is "lncRNA (ENSSGRG00000032225.1)". The record is from RNAcentral. Lineage: Eukaryota; Metazoa; Chordata; Actinopteri; Cypriniformes; Cyprinidae.
GACAACAUGACGCUUGAUGACAGUCACAACAACAACAACAACACGUGCAGAUCCUGCAGAUGAUUUAGUCUUAAAAGCUGCUAAUGUCACAUCUUUCAGCUCAACUGCAAACAAAACCGACACACAGACUGAUCAAACGAGUGUCACGCGACUCACCUGUAACAAUAAGUGAUGUGUUGUUGGCUGUAAAGUGGUCCGGCUGAAGCAGAGCUCUGGGACGUGUGGACAGACAUUGACUGUAAUGAUGGACAUCUGCUCAGGGACAGCUUUAUUUAUUUUUUUCAGUCUGUGCAAAAGUAUAACCGCUGCGGGUCACAGUGCUGGAAGCUCCAGGGGGAGACCGUACUGAUAUCCCCCUUCUUCAGGCGCGCCUUCACACACUCCAGCAUUCACUCGUAUCGCAGAGACCCGGCUGGGAUCAAACCAGCAACCUCUGAACCCGUGAGGCAGCGCUCUUACCUGCGAGCCACAGAUCUCUUGCUGGAGCACAUGAAGGAACUUAUAUCUGACUGUUUACCUGUGAUUUCCCAAUAAAGAUGUUGACGGAAGCUCUGUCUGGGAUUUAAACCCACGUCUCCAUCGCAGUCUCAUCCUCAGAGGACGUGUGUUUAUCCACUGACCCAUCAUUGAUUUCAUGUUGUGGUUUGGUGUUUGAGUGACUUUGUUGGAUGAGAUCAGUUUAAAGUAAGCAAUAGUGGGAUUAGAACCAGGACUUUUAUGUUUGAGAGUGAAGCCUUUAACCACUGAGCCACAGAGUUUGUUAGUUUAUAAAUUUUUUAUUUUUAAGGUCGUUUAGAUUUUAAGUUUAGGCUGAGUAAAAGAUUUGAUUGCUUCUGUGGGAUUCGAG